Molecule: ribosomal RNA, 253 nt
Filed under: uncultured bacterium
Lineage: Bacteria
Description: partial 16S ribosomal RNA
Rfam family: Bacterial small subunit ribosomal RNA
Source: RNAcentral
UACGUAGGGCGCAAGCGUUGUCCGGAAUUAUUGGGCGUAAAGAGCUCGUAGGCGGCCUGUCGCGUCCGCUGUGAAAUCCCGGGGCUUAACCCCGGGCGUGCAGUGGAUACGGGCUGGCUGGAGGCAGGCAGGGGGGAACGGAAUUCCCGGUGUAGCGGUGAAAUGCGCAGAUAUCGGGAGGAACACCAGUGGCGAAGGCGACUGCCUGGACCUUUGCUGACGCUGAGGCACGAAAGCCAGGGGAGCAAACGGG